Molecule: unclassified non-coding RNA, 449 nt
Filed under: Melica minuta
Lineage: Eukaryota; Viridiplantae; Streptophyta; Magnoliopsida; Poales; Poaceae
Description: partial external transcribed spacer
Source: RNAcentral
AUGAGUUGUCUUGGACCAGUGUCUUGCAACAUGGACCCCCGCCGUUGUGCGGCCGACUGUUCGCGACUGUGUCUAUCAAURUUCGCGGUUUUUAACCUUCCGCCCCGUCCCAAGUGCUUGCAUGACGAUACCCGACAUAAGGGAAGUGGUGCUUCGUACCCGGUUGCCUCGCGGCGAACACCCCUUGGGUGCUCCGCUGCGGCCAAAACGUGCUUGCGGCGUUGCCUCGUGGUGCCGUCACUCCAAGUGCUCGGUUCCGCCAAGGCCACCUCGCCUGCGCGCUUGGUCCAGGAUGUUGCCAACGGAAAAGGUUAGUGACCCAUCGGCGUCAGUCCCUAUCGGAAGCUCUCUCAGUAUACGACAGCUAACUCGGCUAGUUGAUGGUUACCGUGUCACUUGCUGGCCGGCAACCGCAACUUCCGGCGUUGGCUUGUCGACGAGGACGUGCU